GUUAUGGUAUAUUGUUUGGGGACUAUUCAAGGCUGGUUCUGGAAUUUUAUUGGAAGAGAUAUUGAUGGGUUGACUAUUUGCAAUGGCAAUCAGGUUAGUUAACAUGGAGUGCUAAUCGAAAUGAAUUUCUUGACCACUGUAUAAUGUAGUCUGUAGGAGAGUGGCAAGGCCGACACAUACCUUAGUUAUUAGGUGUGAGAUACAUCUCCAUUCUAUAAAGUUUUUUCUCUUCUUUGGUAAGGUCUUUUACUAUUAGGCCAACAAGAAGUGCAGGCUGCACGCCGCGAGCACUGAGCGCAGUCGAUGAGCUCGCCGCCUGUUGAAACUCCGUUGCUGAACAUGUAUGGUGACCUUAAUAUAUAUCUCACAAACUACAUCAUGAUUGGUCUCCGCCCUUGGAAGCCCUUGGGAAGUCAUCACACGAGGCAUCUCAUCUAUCCUUAGCAUCAGCAUAGCAAGGUACAUAAAUUCCUGUAUCCUAUUUUCUCUAAUCUAAUUCAUUUAAUCUUAAGAAUUUUGAAGGGCAUCGACAGAAAGGAUUUCCCACUUCAUAUUGAACCGAUAGCCAUUCAGAUUUAUAUUCAACAAUUUGUGCCGCUGCAGUUCAAUUUUUGCAGCUUUUAAAUUUGUGUACGCAAGUUGUUUGACGUAAGUCCGACUAGGCUACAGAUGAUUGUUACUGAAUGAAUAUGUGAAUGACUUUCUUUGCAUAUUUUUUAAUUUUGGAGUUGAUGUAGUUCCUCAAGGAUAGACUAAUUCAUAGUUUUCUCAUUCAGGUCUAGCAUAGUUCAUUCUAUCAUUGGCAUUCAUAGAUUAUUUUGUGCUUGGGAUGCCAUAUAAGUUACCGUGGGAUUACUAUUUUGUGGGUCGAUAAAAUCCUUUGAAAAUAACGUCAUGGAAAGAAGAAGCAUCCCUGGAAUAUCUCUGUUCUCUCCCUUAAAGUUUUCUCAAACUAUCUAAUACCCCGUGAAAUGAAUCUCAACUAUUUAAUUUUCAUAUUUUUUAUCAGUGAAGCAUUAUUAUUAUAUUCGUUUUUAUAUCAUAUGUCACUUGUGAUGUUUGAAACUCUAUAAUAUUUGGCUGAUGUCCUAACUUUGCUUUCUUAGGACGAUGAAGUGGGUUUGAGCCAAGACCUCUAAUGAUGUUUCUAAUUCUCUUUCUUCAAGUGCCUUCAUCUGGUGGACAUAAGUAGUCUUAGUAUUGUACCUGGUAUUGAUAUCCAG
This 1223-nucleotide long non-coding RNA is filed under the name Triticum aestivum (bread wheat). RNAcentral's name for it is "long non-coding RNA (TAES_LNC002075)". The record is from RNAcentral. Lineage: Eukaryota; Viridiplantae; Streptophyta; Magnoliopsida; Poales; Poaceae.